UUUUUCCUACGGGAGGCAGCAGUGGGGGAUAUUGCACAAUGGGGGAAACCCUGAUGCAGCGACGCCGCGUGGGUGAAGAAGCGCCUCGGCGCGUAAAGCCCUGUCAGCAGGGAAGAAAAUGACGGUACCUGAAGAAGAAGCCCCAGCUAACUACGUGCCAGCAGCCGCGGUAAUACGUAGGGGGCAAGCGUUAUCCGGAUUUACUGGGUGUAAAGGGGGCGCAGACGGCGAUGCAAGCCAGGAGUGAAAGCCCGGGGCCCAAC
This 263-nucleotide ribosomal RNA is filed under the name uncultured bacterium. RNAcentral describes it as "partial 16S ribosomal RNA". It matches the Rfam family "Bacterial small subunit ribosomal RNA", at positions 333 to 613 of the family's 1533-position model. The record is from RNAcentral.